AAACGUUAUAAACAUGGUUCGAUCGUUCUCACUUUCCAUGGAGUGAUCGUUCCACUCCCAAAGACCCUUUGGGAAUAGGAACGAGUUGUUUGUUGAAGGUGUUAACCCCAGAACCUAGAUCAGGUCGCAUGACAUUGAUGUUUCCGAAAGUCGGAUGCGGGAAGCCAGGUAUGAUCAGAGAUGGGUGGAAUCCGGGGACGAAAUAUGGUGGUGAAGAAUAUGGAAGAACUUGUGCAAGGAUGUCUGAAAAGAUUCUAGAACAAAUGGUGUUUAGAAAGGUUUUGAUACCAGCAAUGGCGGUGUAUCGAUAUUUGUAAAUCAUGGAAAGUGAGAUCUGUUUUUGCAAAUAUCGUGAAGUGAGAGGGAUUUGGUCGAAGCCAUUUGGGGGAUCAGAGGACUCGAUGCAUCGGAAGCAGGAGACAGCUUCGUUAGCAAGAGAUGCAAUAUAUAUUAGGUGAACUUACGCAGUCUUCUCGCAUGUAAACGCCUACCACACACUUUUCUCCAAAUAUGUUGGUGAAAAGCUCCUUAACUUCGGCCUGCGACACAGGAAAGCCACGAGAAAACGUUAUAAACAUGGUUCGAUCGUUCUCACUUUCCAUGGAGUGAUCGUUCCACUCCCAAAGACCCUUUGGGAAUAGGAACGAGUUGUUUGUUGAAGGUGUUAACCCCAGAACCUAGAUCAGGUCGCAUGACAUUGAUGUUUCCGAAAGUCGGAUGCGGGAAGCCAGGUAUGAUCAGAGAUGGGUGGAAUCCGGGGACGAAAUAUGGUGGUGAAGAAUAUGGAAGAACUUGUGCAAGGAUGUCUGAAAAGAUUCUAGAACAAAUG
Molecule: long non-coding RNA, 829 nt
Filed under: Brassica napus (rape)
Lineage: Eukaryota; Viridiplantae; Streptophyta; Magnoliopsida; Brassicales; Brassicaceae
Description: long non-coding RNA (BNAP_LNC008956)
Source: RNAcentral